RNAcentral lists this ribosomal RNA (351 nucleotides) under uncultured bacterium. Its description in RNAcentral is "bacterial SSU rRNA". It matches the Rfam family "Bacterial small subunit ribosomal RNA", at positions 32 to 359 of the family's 1533-position model. The record is from RNAcentral.
AAUCAACGCUGGCGGCGUGCCUCAGACAUGCAAGUCGAACGCGAAAUCUCCCUUCGGGGAGAAAGUAGAGUGGCGCACGGGUGAGUAACACGUAGGUAAUUUGCCUUUGGGUGGGGAAUAACUCAGGGAAACUUGAGCUAAUACCGCAUAAUGCAGCGGCUCGACAUCGAGACAGUUGUUAAAGGCGGGGGAUUCGCAAGAACCUCGCGCCUGAAGAGAAGCCUGCGGCAGAUUAGCUAGUUGGUAGGGUAAUGGCCUACCAAGGCAACGAUCUGUAACCGGCCUGAGAGGGCGGUCGGUCACACUGACACCGACAUACGGGUCAGACUCCUACGGGAGGCAGCAGUCGGG